UACGAAAGGUGCAAGCGUUGUUCGGAAUCACUGGGCGUAAAGCGCACGUAGGCGGGUUCGUGUGUCGAUUGUGAAAGCCCCAGGCUCAACCUGGGAAUUGCAGUCGAAACUGCGAAUCUUGAAUACCUGAGAGGGUGGGGGAAUUCCUGGUGGAGAAGUGAAAUUCGUAGAUAUCAGGAGGAACAUCAGAGGCGAAGGCGCCUACCUGGCAGGCUAUUGACGCUGAGGUGCGAAAGUGCGGGGAGCAAACAGG
RNAcentral lists this ribosomal RNA (253 nucleotides) under uncultured bacterium. RNAcentral's name for it is "partial 16S ribosomal RNA". It matches the Rfam family "Bacterial small subunit ribosomal RNA", at positions 524 to 776 of the family's 1533-position model. The record is from RNAcentral.